RNAcentral lists this ribosomal RNA (222 nucleotides) under Clostridioides difficile. Its description in RNAcentral is "partial 16S ribosomal RNA". It matches the Rfam family "Bacterial small subunit ribosomal RNA", at positions 811 to 1032 of the family's 1533-position model. The record is from RNAcentral. Lineage: Bacteria; Bacillati; Bacillota; Clostridia; Peptostreptococcales; Peptostreptococcaceae.
GAGUACUAGGUGGCGGGGGUUACCCCCUUCGGUGCCGCAGCUAACGCAUUAAGUACUCCGCCUGGGAAGUACGCUCGCAAGAGGGAAACUCAAAGGAAUUGACGGGGACCCGCACAAGUAGCGGAGCAGGUGGUUUAAUUCGAAGCAACGCGAAGAACCUUACCUAAGCUGGACAUCCCAAUGACAUCUCCUUAAUCGGAGAGUUCCCUUCGGGGACAUUGG